This 91-nucleotide transfer RNA is filed under the name Chloroflexota bacterium. RNAcentral describes it as "Chloroflexi bacterium tRNA-Ser". It matches the Rfam family "tRNA". From Rfam's summary of the family: Transfer RNA (tRNA) molecules are approximately 80 nucleotides in length. Their secondary structure includes four short double-helical elements and three loops (D, anti-codon, and T loops). The record is from RNAcentral. RNAcentral also lists the same sequence under 1 other name. Lineage: Bacteria; Bacillati; Chloroflexota.
GGAUGGAUGGCCGAGAGGCUUAUGGCGGCGAUUUGCUGAAUCGCUGAGGACAAGCCGUCCUCCGCUGGUUCGAAUCCAGCUCCAUCCUCCA